RNAcentral lists this long non-coding RNA (725 nucleotides) under Homo sapiens (human). RNAcentral describes it as "non-protein coding lnc-OR4D9-6:1". The record is from RNAcentral. Lineage: Eukaryota; Metazoa; Chordata; Mammalia; Primates; Hominidae.
CCUCCCACCUUGGCCUCCCAAAGUGCUGGGAUUACAGGCAUGAGCCACCAUGCCCAGCCAACUUUCUUUUUUUAAACUAAAGAUGUCAGGCAGGCCAUAGCUCAGCUUUAGGUGGCCCCCCUCUGACACUCACGGUCUCUUUUUGCUGAUUACCCACAAUAGUGGAGGAAGAUCCACAUAUAAAGUCAAAAGUCUAGGUUAAAAUCCCACAUCAGCCACUGAUGAACUGUGCAAGCUUGGAAAAAUCAUUUCACCUCUGUGAAUUGUGGUUUUGCCAUCUGCAGAGCUGAAUGUUAACCAUAGCCCAAGAUACUAAGUAUUAUAGGAUUGAAAUGAAAUAUAAAUGAAACUUUGUAAAUGUUAAAUUAUAACACAAAUCAUAUGGUCAGUGUCGAUGUCCUAAUUGUUCCUAACUCCUCAUCACACUCUCCUACUUCUUCAUUGUGGCUGCCAUCCUGAUAUCCGCUCUGCAGAGGGGAGGCACAAGGCUUUUCCCACCUGCUCCUUCCACCUGGUUUAAUUCUCCUCCAGCACAAUGAACAAGCCUCACCUAUUUGUGCCCCAGCUCCAUCUUCUCUUAUGAGAGGGGCAAGGUAGUGUCUACGGUUUACACAUGCAUCACUCCUGUGCCAAACCCCUUGAUCUGCAGCAUGAGGAAGAAGGAACUCAAGCAUGCUCUUAAAAAAAAAGAAGAAAUUGCAAGGUUCUUGCUGCUCAGAACACAU